RNAcentral lists this ribosomal RNA (2262 nucleotides) under Schizocladia ischiensis. The record is from RNAcentral. Lineage: Eukaryota; Schizocladiophyceae; Schizocladiales; Schizocladiaceae.
CUACAAAAAUGAGUAUGAUCCUGGCUCAGGAUGAACGCUAUUAGUCUGCUUAACACAUGCGAGUCGAAUGGGUAAGACCCAUGGCGAACGGGUGAGGAGAGAAGAGGAAUCUACCUUGUACCCCGGGAUAAUCCCAUCUCUAAGGGGAGAAGGUAACAGGAAAAUACCGGUAGUAGGUUUGAAAACCGGUACAAGAUGAGCCUCUUUAGUAUUAGGUAGUUGGUGGGGUAAGGGCCUACCAAGCUGAUGAUGCUUAGUUGGUCUGAGAGGACGAUCAACCACACUGGGACUGAGACAAGGCCCAGGCUUCAUGAGAAGCCAGCAGUGAGGAAUAUUGGAGUGCGACCCGUUCAUGGACGAAGGAAAGCUGUAGGCUGUACGAAUCCAUGGGCACUGGCGGAAGCCGUGUUAACUGUUUUUUCAUGUGAGCCGGAGAGCUCACCCCUUGGGAGAUAGAGAGGGAAAAGCGAGACCCACGGGGUCGGGGAUGGUCACCCAGAUCCCGAAGCUGGGUUGAAAGAGGUGAAAGCCUAAGGGAAUCUAGGCCGACGAACUGCGAGCAAGUGUCUUGGAUCAGUACACGAAAGGAAGUUGUGGGAAAGCCUCGUAAAUCCUCAUGAGGGGAUCAUAUUCCCUUCUGGGACCUAUGGUCCCGGGUCCCCUCGCCGGAAGAUCGGCACGGGCAUAUACGUGUAGAGUCAAACCAUUAGACAUCUACUAUCUCUACGUAGCCUCGGGGCAGAGCAACGUACUACCAAGACAAAAUGGAAAAAUGGAACGGGGAAACCCCGGCAUCUCUUCCCUUCGGGGACAGGGUAACCAGCCUCAUGAGAUGCAGGGAGUAGGAUUUGGUAAAAAGCGAAGGCCGGUUUGUAAUGAGCCGGAUAGGCCCACGUACCAACUAGUUUUUAUGAGAGAGCGAAGAAGUAGGAGUUUUUUUUAACCCCGAAAAACUGCCAGAGACAAAAAGAGGUGAAAACUAGAGGAGCCGUAUGAUGGGGGACUAUCACGUACGGUUCUGAAGCAGGAUUGUGAGGGAGGCCUCACUUUUACUGUAACCAAUGGGCGAAAGCUUGAUCCAGCAAGACUAGGUGAGGGAGGAAGGCAGUUGUUGUAAACCUCUUUUCUGGAUGAGGAUGGUGACAGUAAUUCAGGAAGAAGUCCCGACUAACUUCGUGCCAGCAGUCGCGGUAAUACGGAGGGGGCUAGCGUUAUCCGGUAUGAUUGGGCGUAAAGGGUCCGUAGACGGUUCUAGGUCGUUCUUUGUUAAAGCCCGAGGCUCAACCUCGGUAAAGCUUAGAAAACACUAGGACUUGAGUCCGAUAGAGGGGAAGGGAAUUUCCCAUCAAGGGGUAAAAUCCAGACAAAUGGGAAGGAACACCAGAGGCGAAAGCGCUUCCCUGGCUCGGUACUGACGUUGAGGGACGAAAGCAUGGGGAGCAAAUAGGAUUAGGCACCCUAGUAGUCCAUGCUGUCAACGAUGAGUGCUAACCCUUAGACAAGAGUUAGGGGUAAAAGCUAAGGCCUUAAGCACUCCGCCUGAAAAGUACGACCGCAAGGUUGAAACUCAACGGAAUUGACGGGGGCCUAAACAAGUGGUGGAGCAUGUGGUUUAAUGCGAUGAUACGCGCGAAACCUUACCAGUCCUUGCAAAGUUGCCAGCUCCAAGGAAACUUGGAAGCUUUUGGACUUUUCAGGUGCUGCAUGGCUGUCGUCAGCUCGUGUCGUGAGAUGUUUGGUUAAGUCCUUUAACGAGCGCAACCCCUGUUCCUUCUUGCCAUUAUGGAACUGAAGGAAGACUGCCGGAAGAUAAGCCGGAGGAGGGUGGGGAUGACGUCAAGUCCUCAUGACCCUUAUGGGCUGGGCUACACACGUGCUACAAUGGUAAGUACAAUAAGUUGCAAUGGAGCAAUCCGGAGCCAAUCUUGAAAGCUUAUCUUAGUUCGGAUUGGGGGCUGCAACUCGCCCCCAUGAAGUUGGAAUCACUAGUAAUCGCGAAUCAGCACGUCGCGGUGAAUAUGUCACUGGGCCUUGUACACACCGCCCGUCACAUCCUGGGAGUUGGUUUUGCCUGAAGUUUGUAUCCUUGACUCCCUAGACUUUGUUUGAUCUUUCUUUGAAGAUAGAUUUCUUCAAAGGGAUUCUUCUUCAGAGGGAUUUGAAGAGACAUAGUGCAAAGGAGAAAAGGCCAACCCAGGGAGAGAUUGGCAACUGGGAUGAAGUCGUAACAAGGUAGUCGUAGGGGAACCUGCGUCUGGAGUC